GAUGAACGCUGGCGGCAUGCCUAAUACAUGCAAGUCGAACGAGAGGAAGGAAAGCUUGCCUUUCUGAAUCUAGUGGCGAACGGGUGAGUAACACGUAGGUAACCUGCCCAUGUGCCCGGGAUAACUUCUGGAAACGGAUGCUAAAACCGGAUAGGUAGCAGGCAAGCAUUUGACUGCUAUUAAAGUGGCUAAGGCCAUGAACAUGGAUGGACCUGCGGUGCAUUAGCUAGUUGGUGAGGUAACGGCCCACCAAGGCGACGAUGCAUAGCCGGCCUGUGAGGGCGGACGGCCACAUUGGGACGGAGACACGGCCCAAACUCCUACGGGAGGCAGCAGUAGGGAAUUUUCGUCAAUGGGGGGAACCCUGAAUGAGCAAUGCCGCGUGAGUGAGGAAGGUCUUCGGAUCGUAAAGCUCUGUUGUAAGAGAAAAACGACAUUCAUAGGGAAUGAUGAGUGAGUGAUGGUAUCUUACCAGAAAGUCACGGCUAACUACGUGCCAGCCGCCGCCGUAA
RNAcentral lists this ribosomal RNA (512 nucleotides) under uncultured bacterium. Its description in RNAcentral is "partial 16S ribosomal RNA". It matches the Rfam family "Bacterial small subunit ribosomal RNA", at positions 28 to 523 of the family's 1533-position model. The record is from RNAcentral.